Poecilia reticulata (guppy) is the source of this 470-nucleotide non-coding RNA. Lineage: Eukaryota; Metazoa; Chordata; Actinopteri; Cyprinodontiformes; Poeciliidae. The record is from RefSeq and is a predicted model, not a curated record.
CUUCCUUUCCUUUAUGCCAGGCUCAAGCUGACCGCCAGAGCAUCGAACCUGGCUCCAGCAUCUCCAUAUCUUUCACCAUAUCCUCAAAGGAAACUGGGACAUUCACCAUACAAGCCAAUAACAACCGUGGCUUUGCCACUGCAUGGCCUUCCUUGGUGAGCAUCGGUGCAGAUGGUCGAGCCAAUGGCAUGGGGACCUUAACAGCUACAGAUAGCGCUGCUUCAGGAACAGAUGUUUCCCUCACUAUUGUUGCUGAGAACGCUGCUCAGACUGACAUCAACUACGUUGUGCUCAGGUUUUCAGUAGCUACCAAGGUAACUGACCUGUCUGCUCCAGUGUGCCAGGUAGUCGAAAUUUCUGAUUUUUGUCCGGCCUCUCCUCUCCUCUGUGCAUCUGUUCAGUGGGAACUUCUUGCUAAAUUCACAGAUGGAAUCAAUGGGACUGGAAUUGAAACCAUUUCUCUCCGCCAA